Molecule: ribosomal RNA, 292 nt
Filed under: uncultured bacterium
Lineage: Bacteria
Description: partial 16S ribosomal RNA
Rfam family: Bacterial small subunit ribosomal RNA
Source: RNAcentral
GAUGAACGCUAGCGGCAGGCUUAAUACAUGCAAGCUGAACGGCAAGAUUUGUAGCAAUACGAGUCCUAGAGUAGCGUAAGGGUGCGUAACACGUAUGCAAUCUGCCCGCAACAGGAGGAUAGCUUAGCGAAAGUUGAGAUAAGACUCCAUAAGAUCACGAGAGGGCAUCUGAUUGUGAUUAAACUACAAGGGGUUGCGGAUGAGCAUGCGUCUGAUUAGUUAGUUGGCGGGGUAACGGCCCACCAAGACGAUGAUCAGUAGGGGAACUGAGAGGUUGGUCCCCCACACUGGC